RNAcentral lists this ribosomal RNA (466 nucleotides) under uncultured bacterium. Its description in RNAcentral is "partial 16S ribosomal RNA". It matches the Rfam family "Bacterial small subunit ribosomal RNA", at positions 28 to 507 of the family's 1533-position model. The record is from RNAcentral.
GACGAACGCUGGCGGCGCGCCUAACACAUGCAAGUCGAACGAGCGAGAGAGAGCUUGCUUUCUCAAGCGAGUGGCGAACGGGUGAGUAACGCGUGAGGAACCUGCCUCAAAGAGGGGGACAACAGUUGGAAACGACUGCUAAUACCGCAUAAGCCCACAGGUCGGCAUCGACCAGAGGGAAAAGGAGCAAUCCUCGUUGAGAUGGCCUCGCGUCCGAUUAGCUAGUUGGUGAGGUAACGGCCCACCAAGGCAACGAUCGGUAGCCGGGCUGAGAGGAUGAACGGCCACAUUGGGACUGGGACACGGCCCAGACUCCUACGGGAGGCAGCAGUGGGGAAUAUUGCACAAUGGGGGAAACACUGAUGCAGCGACGCCGCGUGGAGGAAGAAGGUCUGCGGAUUGUAAACUCCUGUUGUUGAGGAAGAUAAUGACGGUACUCAACAAGGAAGUGACGGCUAACUACGUG